AGGACGAACGCUGGCGGCGUGCUUAACACAUGCAAGUCGAGCGGUAAGGCCUUUCGGGGUACACGAGCGGCGAACGGGUGAGUAACACGUGGGUGAUCUGCCCUGCACUCUGGGAUAAGCCUGGGAAACUGGGUCUAAUACCGGAUAUGACCUGCUCUCGCAUGGGGGGUGGGUGGAAAGAUUUAUCGGUGCAGGAUGGGCCCGCGGCCUAUCAGCUUGUUGGUGGGGUAAUGGCCUACCAAGGCGACGACGGGUAGCCGACCUGAGAGGGUGACCGGCCACACUGGGACUGAGACACGGCCCAGACUCCUACGGGAGGCAGCAGUGGGAAUAUUGCACAAUGGGCGAAAGCCUGAUGCAGCGACGCCGCGUGAGGAUGAAGGCCUUCGGGUUGUAAACCGUACUUCUAGCAGGACGAAGACGCGAACGUGACGGUAACCUAGCGAGAAGAAAGACGAACCCGGACUAACCUAACGUACGCCAGCAGCCGC
This 491-nucleotide ribosomal RNA is filed under the name uncultured soil bacterium. RNAcentral's name for it is "bacterial SSU rRNA". It matches the Rfam family "Bacterial small subunit ribosomal RNA", at positions 26 to 518 of the family's 1533-position model. The record is from RNAcentral.